RNAcentral lists this unclassified non-coding RNA (144 nucleotides) under uncultured fungus. Its description in RNAcentral is "sequence contains ITS1". The record is from RNAcentral. Lineage: Eukaryota; Fungi.
GUAUUAUUUCAUAAAGAUCACAUUUAUUCAGUCAAUUUCAGAAGAUAUUAUCAAACUACAAGUUGGGACAAAAUUGGUUGUGCUGUGAGUACAUAAAAGUACUAGCAUUCAAUAAUGAUCCUUCCGCAGGUUCACCUACGGAAA